GGUAGUAGGGGAAUGUUGAUUAAAAGUGAUCACUAGCUUGAGGGGAGGCAGUUCGACACCUCUAGAGAAAUCUCACAACUUUAGAGAGUACACGCGCAUCGAUACAAACUCAUUGUGCACCAUUGAAUACUAAAACUUAAGAAAAAGCUUUCUGUUUAUAUGUUUCAUAUUGGAGAAGUGAAAUGAAGAACUAUAUACUUUGUAACCAUUGACAUAUAAAUUAUUCGCGUUGCAUUGAAGAGGCGUUUCGAAGUGAAUCAUUUUGUACACAUUUUGAUAUUUGCAAGGAAGCAGUAGUGUUUCAGUAGUACACUGAGAUUAUUUCUCAUAAAAAAGAGGGAAUACUAGUCGGUAUAAUUUCAUAGUCUGGAAUAAAGCUUCCUUAACUUAAAAAAUGCCAGAUACCUCGAGUAUAUCUCACUACCCAUUAAAGGUGAUAUUUGCAAUUCAUUUAGUGCUAGUAACAUGGAGUAUUCAGGGAUAUUGGUGUCCAAGAUCAGUAAUGUUUUACAAUUUCUUAUUCUUUGUUUGUAUAUUAUGGGCUAUUCACCAUAUCGAAUCAGAUGAACCAUUGCAAUUUGCACUGCUAAUAAAUGUACUUUCCAUAUUUUUUGACGUAAUAACAUUAGCAAUUUAUUUUCCAACAACAUAUGCAUCUGAGAAGUUUAGCGCAGCAAUUAUGAUCAUAAACAUGAUUGCACGUGUCUUCACGAGCAUAUCAAUUCUGAGAAUAGGCCAAGCGAGAGGCGGUUGUUUAGCAACAAUGUUUUCGCAGAGUCCUGCAAUGGGUCAGUAAUACAUUGGACAGACAUCUGUGUUUUGUAGGCCUACCUUGCUUCUUCAAAGUUUUGCUUUAAGUUUUGGACGACAGGAUUAUGAGGACAUAUCUCACCCAAUUCCACAAAAUUCUGACUUUGCUACAAUCUAAGGUCUUGACUUAACAUUGCUAAAGUUUGAUAUCAAAAAUGGUAUCAAUACAUGUUGUUAUAUUUGUGUUAAUAAUAAGAUACAUAAUCACAUGUAACUCGACGAUACUCAGAUCUAUUUUUCAGAAGAAAAUUUCCAUAAAUCAGAAACUUUUUACCAAUACAAAUACUCGUUACGAAGACAAGCCGAAAGGAGAUGAUUAUGUAUCUUAAAAACAUGACCUCCUUUCAGCAUUGUACUGGAGCAAUAACACAUUGAAAUAUGGCCUGCCAUACAACCAUUGUUAUCAGUUUAUAUAUUAACAAUGAUAAGGAGUUGUAUUAUAACAACACAAAGAAAUGUUAUACUGUAAUACAGUCAUAAAUUUUAUCUUAGUUGUAUAUUUCGUAAGUUAAACUAAUGAAGA
This is an RNA transcript of Nomia melanderi (Alkali bee), 1333 nucleotides long. RefSeq lists it as uncharacterized. The record is from RefSeq and is a predicted model, not a curated record. Lineage: Eukaryota; Metazoa; Arthropoda; Insecta; Hymenoptera; Halictidae.